UCGGGAAUAUUGCGCAAUGGAGGAAACUCUGACGCAGUGACGCCGCGUGCAGGAAGAAGGUUUUAGGAUUGUAAACUGCUUUAGACAGGGAAGAAAAAAAUGACAGUACCUGUAGAAUAAGCUCCGGCUAACUACGUGCCAGCAGCCGCGGUAAUACGUAGGGAGCGAGCGUUAUCCGGAAUUACUGGGCGUAAAGCGCACGCAGGCGGCGUGACGCGUCAGAAGUGAAAUCCCCGGGCUCAACCUGGGAACUGCUUUUGAAACGGUCAUGCUUGAAUCAUGGAGAGGGUAGCGGAAUUCCGAGUGUAGAGGUGAAAUUCGUAGAUAUUCGGAAGAACACCGGUGGCGAAGGCGGCUACCUGGCCAUGUAUUGACGCUCAGGUGCGAAAGCGUGGGGAACAAACA
This 405-nucleotide ribosomal RNA is filed under the name uncultured bacterium. Its description in RNAcentral is "bacterial SSU rRNA". It matches the Rfam family "Bacterial small subunit ribosomal RNA", at positions 355 to 774 of the family's 1533-position model. The record is from RNAcentral.